GACGAACGCUGGCGGCGUGCCUAAUACAUGCAAGUGGGACGCAAGGGAACACACUGUGCUUGCACACCGUGUUUUCUUGAGUCGCGAACGGGUGAGUAACGCGUAGGUAACCUGCCUAUUAGCGGGGGAUAACUAUUGGAAACGAUAGCUAAUACCGCAUAAUAUUAAUUAUUGCAUGAUAAUUGAUUGAAAGAUGCAAGCGCAUCACUAGUAGAUGGACCUGCGUUGUAUUAGCUAGUUGGUAAGGUAAGAGCUUACCAAGGCGACGAUACAUAGCCGACCUGAGAGGGUGAUCGGCCACACUGGGACUGAGACACGGCCCAGACUCCUACGGGAGGCAGCAGUAGGGAAUCUUCGGCAAUGGACGAAAGUCUGACCGAGCAACGCCGCGUGAGUGAAGAAGGUUUUCGGAUCGUAAAGCUCUGUUGUAAGUCAAGAACGUGUGUGAGAGUGGAAAGUUCACACAGUGACGGUAGCUUACCAGAAAGG
Molecule: ribosomal RNA, 489 nt
Filed under: Streptococcus mutans
Lineage: Bacteria; Bacillati; Bacillota; Bacilli; Lactobacillales; Streptococcaceae
Description: bacterial SSU rRNA
Rfam family: Bacterial small subunit ribosomal RNA
Source: RNAcentral